RNAcentral lists this transfer RNA (68 nucleotides) under Aphelocheirus jendeki. RNAcentral describes it as "tRNA-Arg". Lineage: Eukaryota; Metazoa; Arthropoda; Insecta; Hemiptera; Aphelocheiridae. The record is from RNAcentral.
AAGUAUUGAAGUAAUAAUAUAUUACAUUUAGUUUCGACCUAAAAUUAGAGUAAUAAUCUCCCUACUUG